This 77-nucleotide transfer RNA is filed under the name Chloroflexota bacterium. Its description in RNAcentral is "Chloroflexi bacterium tRNA-Arg". It matches the Rfam family "tRNA". From Rfam's summary of the family: Transfer RNA (tRNA) molecules are approximately 80 nucleotides in length. Their secondary structure includes four short double-helical elements and three loops (D, anti-codon, and T loops). Lineage: Bacteria; Bacillati; Chloroflexota. The record is from RNAcentral.
GUCCCCGUAGCUCAGUUGGAUAGAGCGCUGGCCUGCGGAGCCGGAGGUCGUGGGUUCAAGUCCCGCCGGGGACGCCA